This 137-nucleotide ribosomal RNA is filed under the name uncultured eukaryote. RNAcentral describes it as "partial 18S ribosomal RNA". It matches the Rfam family "Eukaryotic small subunit ribosomal RNA", at positions 1299 to 1458 of the family's 1831-position model. The record is from RNAcentral.
UCGUGGAGUGAUUUGUCUGCUUAAUUGCGAUAACGAACGAGACCUUAACCUGCUAAAUAGCCAGGCUAGCUUAGGCUGGUCGCCGGCUUCUUAGAGGGACUAUCGGCUCAAGCCGAUGGAAGUUUGAGGCGAUAACA